AAGUCGUAACAAGGUUUCCGUAGGUGAACCUGCGGAAGGAUCAUUAACCACCAGGUAGGAGCAAUUUCAAAUUGGGGUGAUUAAGGGGCGUGGUGACCCUGUGACAUGUCUGCCGGUCGGUGGUCGACCUCUGGCAACCGUGAGGCGUUAUCCUUACACAAUCAGUGACACUGUCAUUCACUAACUGCUUGGGGAAGCCAUGCCACUGCCUCUACCGCUCAAUUGUAACACCUUUUGGACAGAGGUCCCGAAUCAAAACUGUUUGCAAUGAUUUACCGGAUUGCUGUUCCUCAUGGUUACAAGAGCAGGCUGAAAGUUCACAGGGUUGUUUAACGUUGGAUACGUGUUGUAACGCACUGGGUCAAAAAAACCGAACAACUGUUAACAAUGGAUAUCUUGGUUCUC
Molecule: unclassified non-coding RNA, 405 nt
Filed under: fungal sp.
Lineage: Eukaryota; Fungi
Description: partial internal transcribed spacer region
Rfam family: Eukaryotic small subunit ribosomal RNA (bases 1-46)
Source: RNAcentral